Chiloscyllium plagiosum (whitespotted bambooshark) is the source of this 624-nucleotide long non-coding RNA. RefSeq lists it as uncharacterized. The record is from RefSeq and is a predicted model, not a curated record. Lineage: Eukaryota; Metazoa; Chordata; Chondrichthyes; Orectolobiformes; Hemiscylliidae.
GUCACAUCCCCAGCCACAGGCCCUGAUGCCAAAGCCCCAGCCUCUAGCUCCAGGCCGCACGCAUUUUCCGCUGGAGACAUGACGCCGACCCACAGGAAACUAGCUCUGGAACUUCAGAAAUAUAUCUGAUGAAGGAAAGUUUCAGUGAAAAUCUUGCAACACCCCUCUGAUCAAAAAGAAAAUUCAAUUUUCCCCCUAGUCCUCUAUUAAGUGCUGUUGUUGGUUCAAUAUGUUAUAUGAAGACCUCUCAAUUUUCUGAAUUUCCUUCCUGGAAGACAUGGUCAUUUAUUUCAAGUAUGCUCUCAUCUCUAUGCUCAAAGACAGCUUGUGUAAACUGUUUGAAGACUCUGUCCAUAUAAGUGGCCCAUCGAGGAAAUAUCCCCUCCAGGAAGCCGAUGUGACCACCAUGUGCAGUUAGUAAUAAUGCAACAUUGGGAUUCUGUUUGGCAGAUUGCAUAGGUAUGGCUGAAAGAAAUACAAAUGUCAGAACAGUCAUGCAUGAAAGUUGUGCAAUCAAUUCAACAAAUGAGACAAUCAUGAAUAGUGAAACCCACUGAAGUGGUAUGCUUAUGGGAUCAACUUUAAUGUAAUAACAAAUAAUUUCCACAUACAUGACUGUUUUAA